UGGUCACAGCUUCGUGACCCUCCACCUCCUUGUUGCAACCCUAAUCCAUCAUCUGCUGCCAUACGUUCAACUUUCAGCGCUUAUCCAACUGUGAGAAAAUUUUGAUAAUAUCAAAUUUCCACAGUUCAUCAACCUCGAUUGAAGCUCGUCUUGGUUUGCCGUUUAUGCCAUCAUUCUCCAUUGAGGCACUCAAGCAGCUUUCUUUGCCCCUUCAAAUGUACUUUCUCUCUCCGAUGAGAAAGAAGAUAUAAAGAAGGCUAUAAGACCGUGGGAGAUGAAAGAUGAAGAGGUGGAAUUCUUUAGGGAAAAUUUGCUGGCACUCAAGCAGUACGAGCUGUCAAGGCAGAAACAAUUGAAGAACUCGAAAGUUGCAGCUUCAGGUUCUUGUUAGACACUUAGACAUCUAUGUUGUUGGAGGGAUUUGAUGGUAAAUAACUUACUCUGUAGAUAAAGGGAUUUUCGGGUGGUUGGUGGCGUGUUGGGUAACAAAUCUAAACGGGUCUGGGUUAUCCGAGCAGUUCUUUGGUUCAGGACAAAAUUGUUUAGGUCGAGUUGACCCAAAACACUUAUUUUGUUGAAAAAUAUGGGUGUGAAAUGGUGAAAAUGUGUUUGAAAGUAUAGUUUCAGUCCAAUACUUUUUUAAGAAACAAACUUUUAAAUCAAGUUGGUAUUUUGUAUUAAAGGAAACAAUUUUUUUUUACUAAAAGUAGCUUUUUUAAAUGCAAUUAAUCAUUUGAUGAAGCUGCAAAUUAUAACUUUAUUUCAGCGACAUGGGGUGAGGUUACGGCUGGUGAGUUAAAUAUGUUGAGGGAGGGGUAGGAUUAUUGGUAUGAAGUUGCUGGUUAGUAUGAAUCUUUUAAGCAUGGGUUCCGUUUGGUUUGGUUUUAGUUUCCAGCAGUUUAGUUUCGGAAUAAACCAUAAACACCCUAGUGGGUAUAGUUAGUUGUAUUUUGUUGCAGGUUAGAUGUGCUAAUAGGUUGCUGAUUGGGGCUGCUAUGGGGAGAAUAGAGGCCAAGACGACUAGGAAGCUGAAGAGAAGAUUAAUGUCUUGUUUUUAUGAGUUUGGUUUAUUUUUUUAUUAUUGUUUCUUUGUUUGGUUUCUUUUAAGAGGUUAAUGGUUCUGGUUCUACCCCUCUUGUAAGGUAAAAGGAAUGUACCAUAUGGACCAAUGUUUUAUGAAUGGGUCGAUUUGGGUUAUUUUUUCUGUAACGGUUCAAAUGUAUUCUUUGUACUUUAUGAAUGUGUCGGUUUGGGUUAUUAUU
This 1262-nucleotide long non-coding RNA is filed under the name Helianthus annuus (common sunflower). RNAcentral describes it as "hypothetical non coding rna". The record is from RNAcentral. Lineage: Eukaryota; Viridiplantae; Streptophyta; Magnoliopsida; Asterales; Asteraceae.